GCCCACGUAGCUCAGUCGGAUAGAGCGACUCUCUCCUAAAGAGUAGGCCGCAGGUUCGAUUCCUGCCGUGGGCA
This 74-nucleotide transfer RNA is filed under the name Rubrivirga litoralis. RNAcentral describes it as "tRNA-Arg". It matches the Rfam family "tRNA". Rfam says of the family: Transfer RNA (tRNA) molecules are approximately 80 nucleotides in length. RNAcentral also lists the same sequence under 1 other name. Lineage: Bacteria; Pseudomonadati; Rhodothermota; Rhodothermia; Rhodothermales; Rubricoccaceae. The record is from RNAcentral.